AGACCAGACUCCUACGGGAGGCAGCAGUGAGGAAUAUUGGUUAAUGGUCGGGAGACUGAACCAGCCAAGCCGCGUGAGGGAGGAAGGUACAGAGUAUCGUAAACCUCUUUUGUCAGGGGACAAAGACUGGGACGCGUCCCCGGAUGAGUGUACCUGAAGAAAAAGCAUCGGCUAACUCCGUGCCAGCAGCCGCGGUAAUACGGAGGAUGCGAGCGUUAUCCGGAUUUAUUGGGGUUAAAGGGGGGGCAGGGGGGCAUGUGACGACGAGUGUGACGCCCGGGGCCCCCGCCCCGGCCCGCCGUUGAAACUGGCAGUCUCGAGUUGGAGAGAAGUAUGCGGAAUGCGCGGUGUAGCGGUGAAAUGCAUAGAUA
RNAcentral lists this ribosomal RNA (371 nucleotides) under uncultured bacterium. Its description in RNAcentral is "bacterial SSU rRNA". It matches the Rfam family "Bacterial small subunit ribosomal RNA", at positions 328 to 696 of the family's 1533-position model. The record is from RNAcentral.